GGGGCUUUAGCUCAGUUGGGAGAGCGCUUCCAUGGCAUGGAAGAGGUCACCGGUUCGAUCCCGGCAAGCUCCACCA
This 76-nucleotide transfer RNA is filed under the name Bacilli bacterium. Its description in RNAcentral is "tRNA-Ala". It matches the Rfam family "tRNA". From Rfam's summary of the family: Transfer RNA (tRNA) molecules are approximately 80 nucleotides in length. Their secondary structure includes four short double-helical elements and three loops (D, anti-codon, and T loops). RNAcentral also lists the same sequence under 1 other name. Lineage: Bacteria; Bacillati; Bacillota; Bacilli. The record is from RNAcentral.